This 253-nucleotide ribosomal RNA is filed under the name uncultured bacterium. RNAcentral's name for it is "partial 16S ribosomal RNA". It matches the Rfam family "Bacterial small subunit ribosomal RNA", at positions 524 to 776 of the family's 1533-position model. The record is from RNAcentral.
UACGGAGGGGACUAGCGUUGUUCGGAAUUACUGGGCGUAAAGCGCACGUAGGCGGAUUUGUAAGUCAGGGGUGAAAUCCCGGGGCUCAACCUCGGAACUGCCUUUGAUACUGCAAAUCUCGAGUCCGGAAGAGGUGAGUGGAAUUCCCGGUGUAGCAGUGAAAUGCGUAGAGAUCGGGAGGAACACCAGUGGCGAAGGCGGCCUUCUGGACCAAUACUGACGCUCAUGCACGAAAGCGUGGGGAGCAAACAGG